CUGAGUGAGGGUUCCUUCGGGGCCCAACCUCCCACCCGUGUAUACCGUACCUUGUUGCUUCGGCGGGCCCGCCGCGCAUGCGGCCGCCGGGGGGGCUUCAAACCCCUCCCUGGGCGAGCGCCCGCCGGAGACACCAACGUGAACACUGUCUGAAGUUUUGUUGUCUGAGUUCGAUUGUAUCGCAAUCAGUUA
Molecule: unclassified non-coding RNA, 192 nt
Filed under: uncultured Aspergillus
Lineage: Eukaryota; Fungi; Ascomycota; Eurotiomycetes; Eurotiales; Aspergillaceae
Description: sequence contains ITS1
Source: RNAcentral